GCUCAGGAUGAACGCUAGCGGCAGGCCUAACACAUGCAAGUCGAGGGGUAACAGGGAGCUUGCUCCGCUGACGACCGGCGCACGGGUGCGCAACGCGUAUGCAAUCUACCUCUUACUAAGGGAUAGCCCAGAGAAAUUUGGAUUAAUAUCUUAUGUGAUAUUAGACUGGCAUCGGUUUAAUAUUAAAGGUUACGGUAAGAGAUGAGCAUGCGUCUCAUUAGUUAGUUGGUAAGGUAACGGCUUACCAAGACUUCGAUGAGUAGGGGUCCUGAGAGGGAGAUCCCCCACACUGGUACUGAGACACGGACCAGACUCCUACGGGAGGCAGCAGUGAGGAAUAUUGGACAAUGGACGGAAGUCUGAUCCAGCCAUGCCGCGUGUAGGAAGACUGCCCUAUGGGUUGUAAACUACUUUUAUACAGGAAGAAUAAGAUCUACGUGUAGAUUGAUGACGGUACUGUAAGAAUAAGGACCGGCUAACUCCGUGCCAGCAGCCGCGGUAAUACGGAGGGUCCGAGCGUUAUCCGGAAUUAUUGGGUUUAAAGGGUCCGUAGGCGGGCUGUUAAGUCAGAGGUGAAAUGCUGCGGCUCAACCGUAUGCACUGCCUUUGAUACUGGCGGUCUUGAGUUAUAGUGAAGUGGCUAGAAUAAGUAGUGUAGCGGUGAAAUGCAUAGAUAUUACUUAGAAUACCGAUUGCGAAGGCAGGUCACUAACUAUACACUGACGCUGAUGGACGAAAGCGUGGGUAGCGAACAGGAUUAGAUACCCUGGUAGUCCACGCCGUAAACGAUGGAUACUAGCUGUUCGGUUUUCGGACUGAGCGGCCAAGCGAAAGUGAUAAGUAUCCCACCU
This 851-nucleotide ribosomal RNA is filed under the name Cellulophaga sp. NN014845. RNAcentral describes it as "bacterial SSU rRNA". It matches the Rfam family "Bacterial small subunit ribosomal RNA", at positions 22 to 874 of the family's 1533-position model. Lineage: Bacteria; Pseudomonadati; Bacteroidota; Flavobacteriia; Flavobacteriales; Flavobacteriaceae. The record is from RNAcentral.